AUCAGAUGCUGCCAUACAUCAUAAAUCGCCUCUUACAGGUAGUGUGCCUAUGUGUACAUCGAAAUAUUAAUGAUCUAUGUGUACAUCGAAAUAUUAAUAUGUCUAUGUCAACAAUUAAAUAUUAGUGUGUCUUUGUGUACAGUCACUUCGUCUCUUGUCUGUUACUUGUUCGUUAGUGCACUUUAUGCUUAAUAUUUUUCUUUUUAACUUUUUAAUAUUUACAUUUUUUUAACUUUAUUCCCUUGUUUUAUACGAACCCAUAGCCUUAGCCUUAUUCUACUAACCCAUUGCAUUAGCAUUUCAUUCCACUUUAUUUUAUUACUUGUGCACUGUUGUCCUGUCUGUCUACUGUCGCGCACUAACCGCCAAGACAAAUUCCUUUUAUGUUUGAGAUAUUUUGGCUAAUAAAUGUUUCCUGAUUCCUGAAUCCUACAUCUAAAUAUUAGUUUGUCUCUGAGUAUGUGUGUGUGUGUGUGUUGUGCGCUUAUCUGAGUCAUGCGUAGAUCUGGCGCUGCUCCUGAGGGGGCGACUCUCAGCACAUCCUGAUGGCGUGGCAUCCUGAUGGCGUCCUGAUGGCGUGACGUCCUGAUGGCGUCCUGAUGGCGUGACGUCCUGAUGGCUUCCUGAUGACGUCCUGUUGGUCUGCAGAGACAAGGAGAAGAGACGUGAGGAGGAUCAUCAGGAUGUGAGACAACAUUCAUAGGUCCAAUUAUUUUAAUUUGAUACACUUUUGUUUAAUUAUUUCAUGUUUCUAUGUGUGUGUAAGUCUACAUUAUAUAUUUGUGGUUUUUAAGGUGUAUUUCUGUGUAUGCUUUUCAUGUUUUGUGCAUCUCUGGGCCUACCAACACUGUAAGUGUGUUAUAUGUUCUGUUCAGAGGGGUCAAAAGUAUUCACAUUUAUUACUCAAGUAGAAGUACAGAUACUAGGGUUUAAAAAGACUCCUGUAGAAGUUGAAGUAUCGACUCAAGCUUUUUACUUAAGUAAAAGUAGCGCCAUUUAUCUAGAUGGGUUUUUUUUGUGUUUUUGAACAUGGGACAAGCCGGAAGUAAUGAGGCUGUUUUUAAGAUUUAAGGAGUAGAAAGUACAGAUAUUUAAGUGGAAAUGUAAGGAGUAGAAGUAAAAAGCCGUCUGAAAAUAAAUACUCCAGUAAAGUAUAGAUAACCCAAAUUUCUACUUAAGUACAGUAACUUGACAACUCUGGUCUGUUAUUUGUGUGUGUGUCUCUGUGUAAAUACCUUUAUGUGUGUGUGUGUGUGUCUCUGUCUAAGUACUUUUAUAUGUGUGUGUGUCUCUGUGUAAGUACUUUUAUACGUUAGUGUCUCUGUGUAAGUACUUUUAUAUACGUGUGUCUCUGUCUAAGUACUUUUAUACGUUAGUGUCUCUGUGUAAGUACCUUUAUAUAUGUGUGUCUCUGUGUAAGUACUUUUAUAUACGUGUGUCUCUGUGUAAGUACUUUUAUAUGCGUGUGUCUCUGUAUAAGUACUUUUAUAUGUGAGUGUCUCUGUAUAAGUACUUUUAUAUGUGUGUGUCUCUGUGUAAGUACUUUUAUAUGUGAGUGCCUCUGUGUAAGUACUUUUAUACGUUAGUGUCUCUGUGUACAUGUACAUGAUAACAGCAGGAAUCAGAGGUUUAUCACAAGGUACUAACUCUACGUCACAGCUUCCCUUACCCGAUAGUACAAACACAUGAUUCACAGCAGUACGGCUGCAGUCUGUCUGGAUUUCUCACUUACCUCGAGCUCUGUUGAGUGCAGCAAAACGCGUCUUCAUCUCCUCUUCAGACUCCUGAGGCGUGACGAUCGCUUUCUGCAGUUUUCUGUCCGGAAAACUUCAGUGUGUGCAGAUGUGAGGUUUGAAACUAACUGACUAAAUGUGCCUCAGACUGUGUUUCUUAUACUGUGGGGAAUGGAGCAUAGAACACGGAACAUGGAGCACAGAACACGGAACAUGGAACAUAGAACACGGAACAUGGAGCAUGGAACAUGGAGCAUGGAAUUUGGAACACGGACAUGGAACAUGGAGAAAUCCUGAUGUCACCUGUCUAUGUUUACAGUGAAGGACUCAAGUGCAGAUGAUGCUCGGAGGGACCUGGAGCAAAUCACCAUGGCAAUAUUUGUUGUCUUUCGGAAAGAGGGGAAAGGACUGCAGGAGCCACCUGAAGACAUUAGCAUCGUCAUUGAGGGUGUGGAGGUGUUGCAUCAACUGUCAAAAGCUGUCCGUUUCAGCUUGUGCCCUGCUUCUGGGAUUGAUACUCAACCUCUCUUACCCAAAACCACUUCAUUUCACUUUUAAAGUGCUCCAGAAGAUAAUCAUGGAGCUUGAUCAGCAGAAGAUGUCCCCCAAGGUCCAUAAUCUGUAUGGCAGACUUCAAACACAAUAGUGUUUCGAUAUGGGGCAUUUCACUAUUCAGCCCCUUUGGAUGUUGGGCCUUUGUUAGCUCCAAGAUAAAAAUGUUAAGAUACAAUGUUGUUUUAUAUAUAUUAUCACUUGAUUGUAUACAAAUGCUUCUAUCAUACAUAUGAUUUUUGGGGAAAAAGUUCAAUUUCUGUCAGGUGUUCCCAAACAUUGUUACAUAUCAGAAGGCCAAAUGUGACUUGGCAUGGUUAUGCAUUUUGUGCAUAUUUAUGUUAAAAAAAACACUGGAAACAAAUACAAGCAAUACAUUUUGAAAGCCAUCAAAUUUGACUCUGUCAUUUUUCUUUUAGCCAACUUAAAAUUGGCCAAAAGUACAAUUUUACACCAAGGAUACUACAAAAAUUAGCUUUUAUGAAACCAUACUUUUAGGUUGUAAAGACGCAGUAUUUUACUUUUGGGUAAAGUAAAUAUUUGAGUUGGAAAAACUGUAAACUUUAGGUUGACUUGUUUUGAUUUUGAGUUAAAGUAAUGCAAAAUAUUGAUUUGAAACACAUCGAAUUAUUACAUCCAUCUGACUAAAAUCAAUUGUGUUAAUAGAACUUGUUAACUUCAUUUGGAAAAACCUAAUUCAUUCGUGUGUUACCAAUUCAAAUAGUUCAAUUAAGUUGGUUCAACUAUUUGCUUUUUUCAGUGUACCAAAAAACAUGGGCAUUAUAGUCUUUGGCACUGCGUUUAUUAGAGGCUGUUUAAGCCACAGAUUAUUGUACACAAGGUGGCUUCUGCAGGGGUCCUGUUUAGAGAGAACUGAAGAGGGGGAACACUUCACACCAGGCACGUGAACAGAUAGACCCCUCUAGUGGUGCUCAAGCACCUGCCCUUUUGCCCUGCAGUGCCCCUUCUGCUGGAGCACAAUUGUUUCUUCAUUCAUCAAUACUUUUUGUUUUGAUAUCCGACGGGGCAUUUAUUUGACUUCUGAGUUUCGCCCCGAACUGCUCCGCGGCGCUCACAACACAACAUAAGCGCCGCUGAAAACAUUACGUUGCAACUGGUCUGCCGUGUCCUAAAAAAUAAACAAAUGGAAAAAGUCACAAAAUCCUUGAUUUCAAAGCCUUUCGUCCAGCUGUCAUGUUUAAUGAAGAGAGACAGAGAUGCAGACAGACAGGCAGAGAAUUUAUUGACAGUUUUACAAAUUAGACAGAGGGGCGGUUAAUUGACCUCUUUCUCCAUGUGCCCUUUGCAAAGUUCCCCCGGCCCAUUCUCCACCUCUCGUAGGUUAAUUGAAACAGACGGAGCGAAAGGCUCUUUUCUGA
Molecule: long non-coding RNA, 3664 nt
Organism: Gasterosteus aculeatus aculeatus (three-spined stickleback)
Lineage: Eukaryota; Metazoa; Chordata; Actinopteri; Perciformes; Gasterosteidae
Source: Ensembl